RNAcentral lists this ribosomal RNA (2152 nucleotides) under Salmonella enterica subsp. enterica serovar Schwarzengrund. RNAcentral describes it as "bacterial LSU rRNA". It matches the Rfam family "Bacterial large subunit ribosomal RNA", at positions 690 to 2823 of the family's 2925-position model. Lineage: Bacteria; Pseudomonadati; Pseudomonadota; Gammaproteobacteria; Enterobacterales; Enterobacteriaceae. The record is from RNAcentral.
GGGCGUUAAGUUGCAGGGUAUAGACCCGAAACCCGGUGAUCUAGCCAUGGGCAGGUUGAAGGUUGGGUAACACUAACUGGAGGACCGAACCGACUAAUGUUGAAAAAUUAGCGGAUGACCUGUGGCUGGGGGUGAAAGGCCAAUCAAACCGGGAGAUAGCUGGUUCUCCCCGAAAGCUAUUUAGGUAGCGCCUCGUGAAUUCAUCUCCGGGGGUAGAGCACUGUUUCGGCUAGGGGGCCAUCCCGGCUUACCAACCCGAUGCAAACUGCGAAUACCGGAGAAUGUUAUCACGGGAGACACACGGCGGGUGCUAACGUCCGUCGUGAAGAGGGAAACAACCCAGACCGCCAGCUAAGGUCCCAAAGUCAUGGUUAAGUGGGAAACGAUGUGGGAAGGCCCAGACAGCCAGGAUGUUGGCUUAGAAGCAGCCAUCAUUUAAAGAAAGCGUAAUAGCUCACUGGUCGAGUCGGCCUGCGCGGAAGAUGUAACGGGGCUAAACCAUGCACCGAAGCUGCGGCAGCGACGCUAUGUGUUGUUGGGUAGGGGAGCGUUCUGUAAGCCUGUGAAGGUGGCCUGUGAGGGUUGCUGGAGGUAUCAGAAGUGCGAAUGCUGACAUAAGUAACGAUAAAGCGGGUGAAAAGCCCGCUCGCCGGAAGACCAAGGGUUCCUGUCCAACGUUAAUCGGGGCAGGGUGAGUCGACCCCUAAGGCGAGGCCGAAAGGCGUAGUCGAUGGGAAACGGGUUAAUAUUCCCGUACUUGGUGUUACUGCGAAGGGGGGACGGAGAAGGCUAUGUUGGCCGGGCGACGGUUGUCCCGGUUUAAGCGUGUAGGUGUGUGUUCCAGGUAAAUCCGGUUCACUUUAACACUGAGGCGUGAUGACGAGGCACUACGGUGCUGAAGCAACAAAUGCCCUGCUUCCAGGAAAAGCCUCUAAGCAUCAGGUAACAUCAAAUCGUACCCCAAACCGACACAGGUGGUCAGGUAGAGAAUACCAAGGCGCUUGAGAGAACUCGGGUGAAGGAACUAGGCAAAAUGGUGCCGUAACUUCGGGAGAAGGCACGCUGACACGUAGGUGAAGUGAUUUACUCAUGGAGCUGAAGUCAGUCGAAGAUACCAGCUGGCUGCAACUGUUUAUUAAAAACACAGCACUGUGCAAACACGAAAGUGGACGUAUACGGUGUGACGCCUGCCCGGUGCCGGAAGGUUAAUUGAUGGGGUCAGCGCAAGCGAAGCUCCUGAUCGAAGCCCCGGUAAACGGCGGCCGUAACUAUAACGGUCCUAAGGUAGCGAAAUUCCUUGUCGGGUAAGUUCCGACCUGCACGAAUGGCGUAAUGAUGGCCAGGCUGUCUCCACCCGAGACUCAGUGAAAUUGAACUCGCUGUGAAGAUGCAGUGUACCCGCGGCAAGACGGAAAGACCCCGUGAACCUUUACUAUAGCUUGACACUGAACAUUGAGCCUUGAUGUGUAGGAUAGGUGGGAGGCUUUGAAGUGUGGACGCCAGUCUGCAUGGAGCCGGCCUUGAAAUACCACCCUUUAAUGUUUGAUGUUCUAACGUGGACCCGUGAUCCGGGUUGCGGACAGUGUCUGGUGGGUAGUUUGACUGGGGCGGUCUCCUCCUAAAGAGUAACGGAGGAGCACGAAGGUUGGCUAAUCCUGGUCGGACAUCAGGAGGUUAGUGCAAUGGCAUAAGCCAGCUUGACUGCGAGCGUGACGGCGCGAGCAGGUGCGAAAGCAGGUCAUAGUGAUCCGGUGGUUCUGAAUGGAAGGGCCAUCGCUCAACGGAUAAAAGGUACUCCGGGGAUAACAGGCUGAUACCGCCCAAGAGUUCAUAUCGACGGCGGUGUUUGGCACCUCGAUGUCGGCUCAUCACAUCCUGGGGCUGAAGUAGGUCCCAAGGGUAUGGCUGUUCGCCAUUUAAAGUGGUACGCGAGCUGGGUUUAGAACGUCGUGAGACAGUUCGGUCCCUAUCUGCCGUGGGCGCUGGAGAACUGAGGGGGGCUGCUCCUAGUACGAGAGGACCGGAGUGGACGCAUCACUGGUGUUCGGGUUGUCAUGCCAAUGGCACUGCCCGGUAGCUAAAUGCGGAAGAGAUAAGUGCUGAAAGCAUCUAAGCACGAAACUUGCCCCGAGAUGAGUUCUCCCUGAGACUU